RNAcentral lists this long non-coding RNA (472 nucleotides) under Monodelphis domestica (gray short-tailed opossum). Its description in RNAcentral is "lncRNA (ENSMODG00000030132.2)". The record is from RNAcentral. Lineage: Eukaryota; Metazoa; Chordata; Mammalia; Didelphimorphia; Didelphidae.
GGAAACCAUUGGAGAAAUUUAGUCAGGAGGGCAGAACCAGGAAAAUGUAGGAACGGAGUCAAGAAUAUCGCGAGAUCAGGAGGUCAAGAUGAUCUUCCCUGGACUGCCCCCGUGGUUGGCACAGACAAAAUGGAAAGCUGUGGUUGGUUCCUGAGACGUCAGGUAUUGGGUUGCCUUAAGAACCAGGAAUUAAAUGACUUGCUCAAGACCAUAUAGCCAGGAUAUGUCAAAGGCCAAUGGGAUGAGAAACAAGACCACGGAGACACAGACAGACACAGUGAUGUAGCCACCUAAGGGAAGAAGCAGCUUCGAGGUAUGUGAACGCUGGAGCCAGAAAGCAGUCUUGGCUUUGAAGUUAAGACAAGACUGUCCAUAAACAGAGGUUAUGCGUUUGCCCAAGCAUCGCUCCUGUCCUACCCAGUCUUCCCUUGGACAGUUUCAUGGUGGCAGAGUUUGUCCCUCGCUCUAGAAA